CCUACGGGUGGCUGCAGUGGGGAAUAUUGGACAAUGGGGGGAACCCUGAUCCAGCCAUGCCGCGUGUGUGAAGAAGGCCUUUUGGUUGUAAAGCACUUUAAGCGAGGAGGAGGCUACUCUAGUUAAUACCUAGGGAUAGUGGACGUUACUCGCAGAAUAAGCACCGGCUAACUCUGUGCCAGCAGCCGCGGUAAUACAGAGGGUGCAAGCGUUAAUCGGAUUUACUGGGCGUAAAGCGCGCGUAGGUGGCCAAUUAAGUCAAAUGUGAAAUCCCCGAGCUUAACUUGGGAAUUGCAUUCGAUACUGGUUGGCUAGAGUAUGGGAGAGGAUGGUAGAAUUCCAGGUGUAGCGGUGAAAUGCGUAGAGAUCUGGAGGAAUACCGAUGGCGAAGGCAGCCAUCUGGCCUAAUACUGACACUGAGGUGCGAAAGCAUGGGGAGCAAACAGGAUUAGAUACCCCGGUAGUC
Molecule: ribosomal RNA, 466 nt
Filed under: uncultured Acinetobacter sp.
Lineage: Bacteria; Pseudomonadati; Pseudomonadota; Gammaproteobacteria; Moraxellales; Moraxellaceae
Description: bacterial SSU rRNA
Rfam family: Bacterial small subunit ribosomal RNA
Source: RNAcentral